Molecule: long non-coding RNA, 1891 nt
Organism: Chenopodium quinoa (quinoa)
Lineage: Eukaryota; Viridiplantae; Streptophyta; Magnoliopsida; Caryophyllales; Amaranthaceae
Exons: 2
Source: RefSeq, a predicted model, not a curated record
AAUCCUUUCCCAUGUAACCUAUUACAUACAAUAUCAUAGGAAUGAUCUAAUAGUGGAAGUAUUAUUAUUUUUUAUUAUUAUUUUAUUAUUAUUUCAAAGAUGGAGAUAGGGUAUUGGUCUUAACUUGAUAAUGAUGUUCAUUUAAUUAUUUUAGAUGAUUAUAAGAGAUAAACUUUAAGUAUUUGGGGAUGACUAACGAGACUCACCAAUUAUAAAUAGAGUUUAUGUUAGAAAAGUGGAUAUUACAUACAAGUCCAACGAGGUUCACUAAAAAUGGUAUCUUAAGUUUCUUUCUCUCACUAAGAGAGCAUGAGCACCUUGAUUUUAUGGGCUACUAUCGCUUUCAUGAGUUAUCGAGGGAGAGUUACAACUCUGACAAAUUAAUCAUCCAUGGCGCGGUUUCCUAACCAACAUUCAAACAUGCAGCUAUUAACUCCACCCCACUCCGCUUCAAUAGAAUGUGUAGUAAAGUUUAUUGGUAUAGUUGUUGGCGAGGCCGGGAACGAAGAUGUUAACGAUAAAUUUAAUUUGUCAGGGUUGUGAUUCUCCUCCGAUACCAUGGGAAUGAUAGUAGCUGAUGAAAGGUACCUCGUGUCUCUUUGUGAGGUAAAAGAGACGUAAGAAAGCUAUCAAAGUACCUCAUCUACCUUAUUCGAGCUCAUGAAACAAAAACCCUAGAUUUGCAAUUUCUUCUUUCAUUUCUCUGUUUUCUUUCCUUUUUUUUUUUUUUUCUGGGUAUUUUUUCUUUGAUUGAUUUAUGAACAUUAACCCUAUUGUAAUUUCAGGUUGGUGCUGUCAAUUGCAAUUACUAAUUAAGCUGCAAAUAUGUUCAAAUUAGCAGGCGCAAUGUUUGAUUGAUUGCUUUAAUGCGACUGAUGAAAUAUUGGUUACUGUAGGUUAUGAUUCCCUUCAUUGAGCUCAGAAAGUGAUACUUGAGGAGAAUAGUUUUUGAAUGCCUUCAACAGCAAGUGGAAAAACAUUGUGGUCUGUUCUAGUAAGGGCAUUUGUGCAAGUGGUACUCUGGCUAGCUGUUUCUUUUAUGUUUCUCCCCGGGGACUGGGAUUUUGGGUUUGUCGAAUGACUUAGACUUCUGCUAUUUCGAAUACACUUAGCUUAUUGCCUAUGGGUUAACUGGUGAAGCCUGAUUGCUGAGUGAAAAGCAAAAUGUUUAUAUGCUGAGUCUGAUUUCUAGGUUUGGAUCUUCUCAGUUUGUUGCUUGAGAUUUAAUGAAAACUGUGGUACCGUUGCUUGUAGGUGUUAAUCAUGAUUGUUUCUUAGCAAUUUUCCAACAUCAUUGACUUUUUAGCAUAUAGUUAUGUUAUUUAUCCUUGUCAGGUUUUUUUCCCCCUUCUGUGUACUCUUUUUGAAAUUUGAAGCUAUCAUGAUAGAAGUUUCUCCGUAUACAGUUUAAUGUCUUUUUACACAGACCCCAUAUUUGAUUGUUUGUUUUAUCGUCUGGAUUAAUUUGAAGAUGUUCCAUUAUGUUAUGUUCUUGUCUCUCGCUUGGAAGCAAAGAUUGCAGCUUUUUUGUUGAUGCGUUUCUUUGAUAUUGCUUCAGAAUGAUAGAUAGCAUGCCGUAUUACAUCUGAAACACUUUAGAACUUAGAUUAUCUAGCUCAAUAUAUCAGUACUGAUAAAGUCAUCACUUAGUAUCAGUACAGAGAAGGCAUGAUUGGAAGGAUACUAAAGGAAGAAUCAGAUGAAAAUAGAGGUGCUUCUAUAGUUCUAUGAAGAAAUUAUCGAUUGGAACUUAAUUUAAAUUCGAGCUGGUUGUCUAGGUUAAUGCCAGUGUUCUUUGUUUAGAUCCAUGACAUCCAUCCGAGGGAUAAUGCAGGUACCACUGAGAGUGGGAUAUAAAAAGUCCACUUCCAAAAAAAAAAAAAAAAAGAUA